This 202-nucleotide ribosomal RNA is filed under the name Streptomyces albus subsp. albus. RNAcentral's name for it is "partial 23S ribosomal RNA". It matches the Rfam family "Bacterial large subunit ribosomal RNA", at positions 595 to 796 of the family's 2925-position model. The record is from RNAcentral. Lineage: Bacteria; Bacillati; Actinomycetota; Actinomycetes; Kitasatosporales; Streptomycetaceae.
GACUGCGUGCCUUUUGAAGAAUGAGCCUGCGAGUUUGCGGUAUGUUGCGAGGUUAACCCGUGUGGGGAAGCCGUAGCGAAAGCGAGUCCGAAGAGGGCGACCCAGUAGCGUGCCCAAGACCCGAAGCGGAGUGAUCUAGCCAUGGGCAGGUUGAAGCGGAGGUAAGACUUCGUGGAGGACCGAACCCACCAGGGUUGAAAAC